GUUCUCUUCUCUCUCUCUCUCUCUCUCUCUCUCUGUGUGUGUGUGUGUGAGAGAGAGAGAGAGAGAGAGAGAGAGAGAAU
RNAcentral lists this microRNA precursor (80 nucleotides) under Podarcis lilfordi (Lilford's wall lizard). The record is from RNAcentral. Lineage: Eukaryota; Metazoa; Chordata; Lepidosauria; Squamata; Lacertidae.